Molecule: ribosomal RNA, 484 nt
Filed under: uncultured bacterium
Lineage: Bacteria
Description: partial 16S ribosomal RNA
Rfam family: Bacterial small subunit ribosomal RNA
Source: RNAcentral
AUUGAACGCUGGCGGCAGGCCUAACACAUGCAAGUCGAGCGGAUGAAGGGAGCUUGCGCCUGGAUUCAGCGGCGGACGGGUGAGUAAUGCCUAGGAAUCUGCCUGGUCUUGGGGGAUAACGUCCGGAAACGGGCGCUAAUACCGUAUACGUCAUGAUGGUGAAAGUGGUGGAUCUUCGGACAUCACGCUUUUUGCUGAGCCUAGUUGGGAUUAGCUAGUUGGUGUGGUAACGGCCUACCAAGGCGACGAUCCGUAACUGGUCUGAGAGGAUGAUCUGCCACACUGGAACUGAGACACGGUCCAGACUCCUACGGGAGGCAGCAGUGGGGAAUAUUGGACAAUGGGCGAAAGCCUGAUCCAGCCAUGCCGCGUGUGUGAAGAAGGUCUUCGGAUUGUAAAGCACUUUAAGUUGGGAGGAAGGGCAGUAAGUUAAUACCUUGCUGUUUUGACGUUACCAACAGAAUAAGCACCGGCUAACUUCGUG